AAAAAUGUAAAAGAUAAAAAAAAAACAUACAUAUCGAAAGAUGCAACUGUAAAUUAUAAUGAUAUAAACUUUUGUAGUAUUAAUGCAUAUGAACAUAUGCAAACAAAUAAAGAAUUUGAUGUUAUAAAAAGUUCUUUUUUUCCAAUUACUUCUAUUAAUAGAGUCAAAUCUUUGUAUGCUGAUUCAUGGAAAAGUACAUUAAUUCCAUCUACAUAUAUAUUACCAUUUGUUGAAACGAAAUUAGUAGAUAAAAAAAUAUUAAAUUUUUCAGAAUGCAAAAAUUUUCAAAAUGCUAUAACAUUUAAAAGAAAAAUUUUACCUAUAGUUAAUGUACCAUUAUUAUCAAGAGGACAUGUGAAACGCAAAAAUGAUCAACCUAUAAUGGUUUGUAAUAAUGAUGCAAAGCUUUUACUAAACGAAUGGUAUAUUAAGGCACCAUUUGUGGAUGCAAAAGGUAAUGUAAUAAGUUAUUAUGAAAACAUUGACAACGAAUUUAAUAUGUUCAUACAAGUAUUAGAUGAAAACAAUGAAAUUAUGUUAGGCUUUUAUGAUACUCCUUUGUUUGUACCCAAUCCCGCAAUUUAUCAUUGUAUUAUAUUAGAAGAUAAAUAUCAUUUUGUUAAAUAUAAUUCUGAUCAUAAUAUAUUAUCAUUUGAGCACUUACAUAGUACUAGUAGCAGUAUAAGUAGCAGUGACAGUAGUGAUAAUAAAAAAAAAAAAAAAAAAAAAAAAUUCACAAAAAAAAAAGAAUUUGCACAACAUUGAAAGUUUUCUAUCAAUUAUGGAGGACAAAAAUGGUAAUGAAAAUUUAGAUAAGUUUCGAGAAAAGGGGGGAAAUAUUCGAGAAAAAGUAAAAACUUCAUUAGACAAAAAGAUUAAACAAGCGACAAAAAUGGAGAAAUAUACAAAUAUUAAUAGACGUCCUAUUGAACAUACCGAUAAGCAUACUAAUACACAUAACGCAAAAACAGAAGGCAUUAAUUUUGUAAAUAGCUUGUUAAAAUACAAUAAAAAUGGAAACAAUAAAAAUGGAAACAAUAAUAAAUCCACGAUGAAAAGUGGAAAAUUAAACAGUAAUGUGACAAAUGAUUUGAAAUAUAUAAAUGAUAUAAAUAAUACAUUUGUUAAAAAAUCAAUCAUACCAAAUACAAAACAACUAAUGAAAAACAAAACAAAUAAUGUACUAAAAAAUGGUGCUACGUUAAAAAAAACAAAUACAACAAAUACAACAAACACAACAAAUACAACGAUUACAACAGAUACACCAAAUACAACAUAUACACUAAAUACACCAGACACACUAAAUACAACUUUAAAUGAUGUUAAACAGAAAAUAAAAGUAGAUGUUAAACAAAAAGCAAAUGCCAGAAAUAACGCUGAUAAAAGUAUCCAUUUUUUAAAAUUAGGCAAUAAUAGAAAAGUAUUCUUUCAAAAAGAAAAAUAUAUACCAAAAAAAUUUGCAAAAAUAAACAAAACUGGUACGUUAUCCUUUACGCCAAGUAAAAUGUCAGUUGAUAACAAUUCGAGUCAAGUUGAUAAAUUAGAAAAAUCGGGUCGUAAAGUUCAGUUAAAAAAAGAAGCUGUCUUAAAAACAGAGAUUAAUUAUAAUAUUAAAAUGAAUAUGGGUAGUAAUUAUACUGAUAAUACUGAGCAAUAUAAUUUAGACAGAUGGGAAACAGACAUUUAUUACGAUAGUUCGUUUUUAUCAUCUAGUGAUGGUACAAUUUCAAGUCACAUAUCGUAUCGAAACAACAGAAGAACUCAUUCGAGUCAAAGGGUUAGUAAAAAUAAAUAUGAAAAAAAAUGGAAACGCUCGAGUGAGAAUAUUAGUACAAAUAAGGAAGUUAUUACUAAUGAUACAAUAAAUAAUACCAGUGCAAAACAGUAUAGUAAGAGUGGAAAAAUUUUGGACUAUUUUAAAGAGCGUGAUUGUAAUCACAGUCGUAGCAGUACAUACAGUAGUGCUGAAAGUAACAGCAGAAAUAGUGAGUCCUCACGGAAUGAACACAGUGAAAGGGAGAGUGAAGAAGACGUGAUCGAUAUACAUAAAAUCAUUCAUGAUAAUUUAACAUAUGAUUAUAUGUCUGAUUAUGUAUCUGAUCAGUUAACAAAUGACAGUAAGCAAUACGACGAAUUAACACGUAGUAGUAAUAUGUAUGUUGAAAAGCUGACCUAUAAUAAUCCAAACGACAGUCAUUAUUCAAAUGGUUUAAAACCCGAAAAAUAUAGUCAAUAUAAAAGUAAUUUUGAUAGCACCAUGAAACUUUAUAAUAACUCAAAAAGGCAUGCUCCUAAUGAUACCAAUAAAGUUAGAAGUGGUAGUGAUAGUAAUAGUAGUAUUGAUAAACUAACAAACCAAUCUGAUGAUAAAACAAUUACUGCGUAUCAUAGUCCACACAAAAUUAACGAUAAUGCUACAUAUGAAAAACAAAAAAAAAAAACUAUUAAUAAUAAACGUCACCAAAACAAAAUAAUUAAAGAGCAUGUAAAAAAAAGUGAAUAUGAUAUAACGGAUAAGUUAAAUAAUAUUCAAAAAAUAAAUACAAAUGAUAUUUUAUUUAAAUUAAAAUUUAAUCAAGACGACU
RNAcentral lists this long non-coding RNA (2585 nucleotides) under Piliocolobus tephrosceles (Ugandan red Colobus). RNAcentral's name for it is "lncRNA (ENSPTEG00000000062.1)". The record is from RNAcentral. Lineage: Eukaryota; Metazoa; Chordata; Mammalia; Primates; Cercopithecidae.